AGAAAGGCCAGAUAAGGUCCCAGCAAAGUAAGAUGCUAGGAGAGAGAAGAGAGAGAGAGAGAGAAAGAGAGAGAGAAAGAGAACUCCUAUGCUAGCUCACUUCUCAAAUGUUAAAUAUCUGGGACUGAGUCAAGCUGAAGUUGGGAACUUAAUCCAGGUCGAAAGAAAGUAUGACAAUCAAAGCAGAGAUCUUAGAGAGAUACUUGAAGAAUCAGCACUGCUAACUUUGGAGACGGAGGAAGGUCCCACAAGCAAGUGAAUGCUGGCCAUCUCACAAAACUGGAAGAGUCAAGAACCUUUUCACCUAAAGGAAGCACUUCCUGGCUCCUCUUCGGCAUAUCUGAGUCAUCAGCAUUGUUACUCUUGUGCAUUGGGGCCACUAUUAACUAAAACGAGAGUGAGCUGAACACAGGCAGUGCAGUACAGCAACAUCUGACCUGCUAGCCAAGACUGCCACUAAGUGACUAACAGCUGCCUCUGGGAAAGUCUAUGGAAGUCAUCAUUGCACCAUUCCACUAGGCUGGCAUUGGCAAAAUAUCCUUUCCUCUGCCCUUCUACGUUCUCAGCUGGGAUCCCUAUAAUAAAAGACAUAUGAGCAAGAGAAAAGCAUAUCAAUUCAUUUAAUAUAAUUUUUAUAAUGACGGGGUGGCUUCAUAUGGAAAUGACUACUCCAAGCAAAAGUUAGAGUUGACUAUCUUUACAUUGGAUUUGAUGAAGAAGGGAGAGUUGAGGGAAAACGAGACAGGACAACAAAGAAUAAGAGCUAGGAGCCCUACCCUGGGGGACAACUAAGCAAAGUCUGUUCCUUAUGAUUGCUCUGAUGUCAUCUGUCUUUGGAGAUAAGGAUGCCCCUUUCCUCUGGGUAGGAACAGAGCCUUCCAUCACAUGAGAGUCUUAUGACCUGCGUUAGGAGAAGCUCAGAAAAGUCUUCCGGUACUUGGUCUUUCAUCAAAUUGGGAGACAAUGCAAUAUGCUCAUGAAAUCUAAUAAGAAUGUGAUUUUGAUUAUCUACAUGCAGGAGUGAGAAAGACCUGAUCAGGUACCAAACUGAGGACAUCUUUCUUUCAUUCUAGCAAUGCCAGCUUCGCGGGCUCUGUUGAAUCAAGCCAUGUUUUCCAAAGUACUGGGAAUCUUUCAUAUGA
This is a non-coding RNA of Oryctolagus cuniculus (rabbit), 1142 nucleotides long. Lineage: Eukaryota; Metazoa; Chordata; Mammalia; Lagomorpha; Leporidae. The record is from RefSeq and is a predicted model, not a curated record.